UGUCAGCUGUGGGGCCAGAGUGUCCUGGACACAUUGGCACCAUGACUGGGACUCCUCUCCUGCUCCUGCUCCUCCUCACCCUCUGCCCAGGGUCCAGCUCUCAGGCUGUGGUGACCCAGGAGCCCUUCCUGACAGUGUCCCCAGGAGAGACAGUCACUCUCACCUGUGGCCACAACACUGGAGCUGUCACCAAUGAGCACUACCCAUCUUGGUUCCAGCAGAAGUCUGGACAAGUCCCCAUCACAUUGGUUUAUGACAUAGACAAGAAAAACGGGUGGACCCCGGCCCGCUUCUCAGGCUCCAUUCUCGGGGGCAAGGGGGCCCUGACCCUGUCGGGGGCCCAGCUGGAGGACGAGGCCAAGUACUACUGCUGGCUGGUGUACAGCGGUGCUCGGCACAGUGACAGGUUCAGACGAAGACCUGGGACAUAAACCUCGCCCUGGCCCAGCCUGGUCUAAGAACAGCCUCAGAGUUUGAGAGUCACAUGAUCUCAUGCUUCAGUGCUCCAGACAGUCCCAAUGGGACAGAGGGGACAGGAAGGACUCUGUAAUGAUGUCUACGACCCUGGAGCACUAAAGAGGAGGAAA
Phyllostomus discolor (pale spear-nosed bat) is the source of this 587-nucleotide non-coding RNA. The record is from the annotation of a RefSeq genome assembly. NCBI's taxonomy places the organism in Eukaryota, Metazoa, Chordata, Mammalia, Chiroptera, Phyllostomidae.